This is a non-coding RNA of Otolemur garnettii (small-eared galago), 107 nucleotides long. Lineage: Eukaryota; Metazoa; Chordata; Mammalia; Primates; Galagidae. The record is from Rfam.
GUGUUUGCUUCAUCAGCACAUAUACUAAAACUGGAAUAAUACAGAGAUGAAUAGCAUGGCCCCGGUGUGAGGAUAACAUGCAAAUUUGUAAACUGUUCCACAUUUUU